This 253-nucleotide ribosomal RNA is filed under the name uncultured bacterium. Its description in RNAcentral is "partial 16S ribosomal RNA". It matches the Rfam family "Bacterial small subunit ribosomal RNA", at positions 524 to 776 of the family's 1533-position model. The record is from RNAcentral.
UACGUAGGGCGCAAGCGUUGUCCGGAAUUAUUGGGCGUAAAGAGCUCGUAGGCGGUUUGUCGCGUCUGCUGUGAAAACCUAAGGCUCAACCUUGGGCUUGCAGUGGGUACGGGCAGACUAGAGUGCGGUAGGGGUGACUGGAAUUCCUGGUGUAGCGGUGGAAUGCGCAGAUAUCGGGAAGAACACCUAUGGCGAAGGCAGCUCUCUGGGACGGUACUGACGCUGAGACGCGAAAGCGUGGGGAGCGAACAGG